CGGACGGGUGGAGUAACGACGUGGAAAACCUAGCCGUAUACUGGGGGAGUAACACUUAGAAAUAGGUGCUAAUACCGCAUAAGCGCACAGCUUCGCAUGAAGCGGUGUGAAAAACUCUGGUGGUAUACGAUGGUUCCGCGUCUGAUUAGCUAGUUGGUGGGGUAAUGGCCUACCAAGGCAACGAUCAGUAGCCGGCUUGAGAGGGUGAACGGCCACAUUGGGACUGAGACACGGCCCAAACUCCUACGGGAGGCAGCAG
RNAcentral lists this ribosomal RNA (259 nucleotides) under uncultured bacterium. RNAcentral's name for it is "partial 16S ribosomal RNA". It matches the Rfam family "Bacterial small subunit ribosomal RNA", at positions 99 to 354 of the family's 1533-position model. The record is from RNAcentral.